Anas platyrhynchos (mallard) is the source of this 2909-nucleotide non-coding RNA. The record is from RefSeq and is a predicted model, not a curated record. Lineage: Eukaryota; Metazoa; Chordata; Aves; Anseriformes; Anatidae.
GAUGCAAUGCCAGGUCUAAGAUCAUCAGAAAAGGUAAGUUACUUAAUUUUUCCAUUGAAAAAAUGGGAAUUGAGCUUGAAAUUGUUCAAGCUCCUUCCUCCUCUUGUUUUGCCUUGCACUUAACACCUUCAGAACUGAAGAUGAGGACCAUGCAGGCCUGCAGAGGACUCAGGUGUCCUCUGUGUACCCCUCCUCCAUCCCCAGGUGGGUUCUCCUGUGCCAGGUGAUGUUUGGGUUCAGCAGGUGCUGUCACUGCCUCCAGCCCAGCAGGGACAUGCACAGGGCAAGUCCCUUGUCCACAGCAGGGCUCAGGCCAUCCAAGCGAGCUGCCUAUCAGCAAUGACUUUUACUUAACCUAGGAGGCCCCCACAUCCCCUUUAAGCUGUUUUCAACCGUGUCUCUGAGUGUGUAAUGUGCUCCGUAAACAAAUAACCUGUGUUUUUGUAACUGGGUCAGCAGGAGCUGAGUUGUACUUCCAGCACAGGACACGGGGAGGAAGUGGUGGGACCAGGAGCAGAAGGGGAGACAGCAGCAGCCUCAGACCCAGGGGACUGUGAGGAAGCAAAAUAGGGAUUGCUGCCAGAACAAAUGCAGAGCCCUUCGGGAAACCAUCCCAAGGUUGGAGAACAAGGAGGGACGGGAAGGCACAAGUAAUGGGAGACCUUCAUGGGAGCUGUUUGUCAUGGGGCAGGUAGCUCCAGCAAGGCUCUGCCCCUACUUCCAGGUGGCACAUUGCCGUCUUGCUCUGUUAUCGUACCUCUGAGGAGGUUGCCUCCAGACACUGAACCCAGAGCCUCUGGAAAGUAAAAAGCAUGAUGAAGUAUUGCCAAAAUGAGUGGGAAAAAAAAAGGUGCAUUUGCCUGAAAAUAACAGCAACUUUGUACAUCUCCAUAUGUGGUCCAACUUUGGGGCUGGAAUGAGGAUCCUCAGAAGUAUUUAUGUGGCGAAAGGUCCAUGAGGUCUCAUCAAGGCACAGUGUUGUGUUAGAGAGAGCAACAUCUGGGAAAAUUCCUGGGCCUGUUUCCUCCCAGGUUGAUGUGCCAGAGUUUAUGGCACUCUGACUUGUUUUUUAAAUCUUACCUUUCGGAUUUAAAUCAUCACUAAAUUUAACUGUGAUUAAAAAAAAAAGGCACAUCUCAACUUCUAUUUACUUAAAAAUGAAUAAAAAAAAGUCUUAUUUUCACUCUUUGAUUUCUCUAGGAACUUUAGUGUAAUUAGUCUUUUUUUUAUUCUACAAAUGACUGUGCUCAGCAUUGUUUUGGAAUAGUUAUUAGUAAACUGCAGUUUCAAAACCUGCAGGCGGCACCCAAGAGCACUAAAUAUGAUUUCUCCAAGCUGUCUAUUUUUAUCGGCCAGAUUCUGAUCUCAGUCACUUUACGAAGCUUUGUUGGCUGAUGUAGAUGAGAAUCUGGUCCUUUAUUUUAGUAAAAUGGGGCUUCACUGAUUUGCAGUUGGAAAAAAAAAUAAAAAAAUCUGUCACUGCUUCUUUUUCCCUAGAGUUGACGACUUCAUUUUGCUGUUCAGCGGUCCAUGGAAGGCUUUUUGGGUGCUGGCUUUAGGAGCGGGUAUGGUAAUAGAGACCUCUCGUAAUGAGCCGGGGAGCUGCGGAGUCUCACCCGCAUUGACAGGAGAAAGAGAAAUGGCUCACGGGCGAGCUGAAGCAAAAUGUGCAGUUACAGGGAUACAAUAGCGAUACAGCAGCUAAGAUAUCCUGCCAAAACGCUGUCUAAGUAGCCAUUAAUGGACAUCUGAGUUUUGUUAAAUAAUUAAUGUGUCUGUUGUGUUUUUUUCUUAUAGAUCUUUCAAGGAAUUUAGUUUCUAUUCCUUUGCAUUUAGCUUCUGUUCCCUGAAUUGCUGCUUUUGAUCCUGUCUUCUUAAGCAUUUAUAGACACUGGCUGUAAGGCCGUUUUCUAACAGUAGCUCAUGUCUGUUAUGGCCAGAAACCAUUUAGCCCCAGUUUGUAAGGAGGAUACUUUGUUCUCAUGGUGUAGUUAGGAAACUGAGGCAUAGCCCACUGAAGUGGAUUUGCCACCGAUUUGUAAAAUAGGCAAGAAUAAGUCUUGUCCUGUGAACAACAUAAAGAAAAACUUUAACAGAGCUUUAAAAACUACUGAACGAAAUAUCUGAAUCAGGGAGGUCUUGGUAAUACUUUUUUGUCCAUCUCUGCUUCUGAGAAAUGCCUGUUCUGAUAUCGUCCAUACAGAAAACACCGGCAGGUUUCACUGGCUUGCAGUCUCACUUUGCAAAAUCCUGCGAAGCAGAAAUCUCAGAUAACCGAUGGAGUGUGGAAGUGCUGAUGUGUCCUGGAUAACUGGACCCCACAGUUUCGCUGCCCUGAUAACACAUCAAAAGGAACCAGAACUCCUUAUCCUCAGGUCCCCAGUACAUACUAUUCGCCAGACAAUUCUCCCAUCACAACCAUCUCUGGUGGUUUCCUACCCUGCCAGAAGUCAAUCAAUCUGUCAUUGAACAUGGAGCUGUGAAAGGAAGAUGCGAUACUACACUGCAUGCAAAAAAAAUAUGUCCUCUGACGUUGAGCACGGCAUAUCCCAUUUGUAAGUCUGCAUACCUGAAGAUUAGCUACUUAUGUGAGUCCUGCAAGAAACAGGAAAGAAUAAGACGUAAGGUUAUGCCUCUGGUGGGAAAGGCUGCAGCACUCUCCAGAAGGGUUGAUCCAUCACACUAAGUACUGCUGUCUGCCCCUCAAGUAUUAGGCUCCUUGGGCAGAGUGUGAUUUGACAUUCAGUGUUACAACAGUCAUUACUCCAAAGAAGCCCACAAUUUGGGACCGAACAAGUGAUGGUAAUAGGUACUGAAUCCACACAACAAAUUGGACAGACAAAAGGGGUCACAUUCUGAGAAGUUACAUUUAACUCUGCUCACCUAAGCUGCAUUUGGAAAGCAGGCAG